This 234-nucleotide ribosomal RNA is filed under the name uncultured bacterium. RNAcentral's name for it is "partial 16S ribosomal RNA". It matches the Rfam family "Bacterial small subunit ribosomal RNA", at positions 96 to 334 of the family's 1533-position model. The record is from RNAcentral.
CGGCGAACGGGUGAGUAACACGUGGGUGACCUGCCCCUUACUCUGGGAUAAGCCUGGGAAACUGGGUCUAAUACCGGAUAUGACUUCAUGCUGCAUGGUGUGGGUUGAAAGUUUUUCGGUGGGGAUGGGCCCGCGGCCUAUCAGCUUGUUGGUGGGGUGAUGGCCUACCAAGGCUUCGACGGGUAGCCGGCCUGAGAGGGCGUCCGGCCACACUGGGACUGAGACACGGCCCAG